GUGGGUAGUGCUCAGUGGUAGAGCGUGUGUUUAGUAUGCAUGAGGUCCUGGGUUCAAUCCCCAGUACCUCCA
Molecule: transfer RNA, 72 nt
Filed under: Camelus bactrianus (Bactrian camel)
Lineage: Eukaryota; Metazoa; Chordata; Mammalia; Artiodactyla; Camelidae
Also listed under: 2 other names
Rfam family: tRNA
About the family: Transfer RNA (tRNA) molecules are approximately 80 nucleotides in length. Their secondary structure includes four short double-helical elements and three loops (D, anti-codon, and T loops).
Source: Rfam by way of RNAcentral